This 476-nucleotide ribosomal RNA is filed under the name Pseudeurotium bakeri. RNAcentral's name for it is "eukaryotic LSU rRNA". The stretch from base 125 to 278 matches the Rfam family "5.8S ribosomal RNA". The record is from RNAcentral. Lineage: Eukaryota; Fungi; Ascomycota; Leotiomycetes; Thelebolales; Pseudeurotiaceae.
GUUUAUUAUACCUUUGUUGCUUUGGCGGGCCCGUCCUCGGACCACCGGCUUCGGCUGGUCAGUGCCCGCCAGAGGACCUAAAACUCUGUUUGUUCAUAUUGUCUGAGUACUAUAUAAUAGUUAAAACUUUCAACAACGGAUCUCUUGGUUCUGGCAUCGAUGAAGAACGCAGCGAAAUGCGAUAAGUAAUGUGAAUUGCAGAAUUCAGUGAAUCAUCGAAUCUUUGAACGCACAUUGCGCCCCCUGGUAUUCCGGGGGGCAUGCCUGUUCGAGCGUCAUUACAACCCUCAAGCUCUGCUUGGUAUUGGGCUCUGCCGGUCCCGGCAGGCCUUAAAAUCAGUGGCGGUGCCAUUCGGCUUCAAGCGUAGUAAUUCUUCUCGCUUUGGAGACCCGGGUGCGUGCUUGCCAGCAACCCCCAAUUUUUUCAGGUUGACCUCGGAUCAGGUAGGGAUACCCGCUGAACUUAAGCAUAUCAA